CGUGGAUAGUUGAAUAAUGGUAUCUAUAUUGUAUCUAGGCCUAAUAUAAUAUAUAUUUUUAAAAAAUAUUCUAGAAUAGAUGAUGUCACAGAUGCCUACGUUUGAUAUUGUAGACUAGGUCAUAUCAACAAGAAUAGGAUGAACAAGUUAGCUCAAGAAGAGAUUCUUAAUAAAAAAGAUUAUGAAUCAUUACCUAUUUAUGAGUCCUGCCUACUUGAAAAAAAUGACCAAAUCAUCUUUUACUGAAAAAAAUGAAUGAGCCA
Molecule: long non-coding RNA, 263 nt
Filed under: Elaeis guineensis (African oil palm)
Lineage: Eukaryota; Viridiplantae; Streptophyta; Magnoliopsida; Arecales; Arecaceae
Description: long non-coding RNA (EGUI_LNC051488)
Source: RNAcentral